RNAcentral lists this ribosomal RNA (433 nucleotides) under uncultured bacterium. Its description in RNAcentral is "partial 16S ribosomal RNA". It matches the Rfam family "Bacterial small subunit ribosomal RNA", at positions 29 to 507 of the family's 1533-position model. The record is from RNAcentral.
AAUGAACGCUGGCGGCAUGCCUAACACAUGCAAGUCGAACGAGACCAUCGGGUCUAGUGGCGCCCGGGUGCGUAACGCGAGGGAACCUGACCUUAGGUUCGGAAUACCUACCCGAAAGGGGUGAUAAUACCGGACAAUGUCUUAGGCCCAAAGAUUUAUCGCCCUUGGUUGGACCAGCGUUGGAUUAGCUGGUUGGUAGGGUAAAAGCCUACCAAGGCGACGAUCCAUAGCUGGUCUGUGAGGAUGAUCAGCCACUCUGGGACUGGGACACGGCCCAGACUCCUACGCGAUGCAGCAGUGGCGAACAGUGGACCAUGGGCUAAAUCCUGAUCCACCUAUGCCGCGUGAGUGAUGAAGUCCUUAGGGUUGUAAUGCUCUUUUACCCGUGAUGAUCAUGACAGUACCUGGAGAAUAAGCUCCGGCUAACUCCGUG